Molecule: ribosomal RNA, 322 nt
Filed under: uncultured eukaryote
Lineage: Eukaryota
Description: partial 18S ribosomal RNA
Rfam family: Eukaryotic small subunit ribosomal RNA
Source: RNAcentral
CCCUUAGAUGUUCUGGGCCGCACGCGUGCUACACUGAGUAAAUCAAUGGGUAAGGGAACACGAAAGUGCAACCUAAUCUUCAAAUUUGCUCGUGAUGGGGAUCGACGGUUGCAAUUUUCCGUCGUGAACGAGGAAUACCUUGUAGGCGCGUGUCAUCAUCACGCGCCGAAUACGUCCCUGCCCUUUGUACACACCGCCCGUCGCUCCUACCGAUUGAGUGAUCCGGUGAGGCUCUGGGACCUGGACGGAAAGAGCGUUUCGCUUGUUCUGUUUGGGAAACUUGGUCGAACCUUAUCAUUUAGAGGAAGGAGAAGGCGUAACA